RNAcentral lists this unclassified non-coding RNA (363 nucleotides) under Hevea brasiliensis (rubber tree). Lineage: Eukaryota; Viridiplantae; Streptophyta; Magnoliopsida; Malpighiales; Euphorbiaceae. The record is from RNAcentral.
GGAACAUCAACUUGUUAUUUUGUUUGAUUGAUUAUCAGGUUAUUUCCAACUUGAAGGAAUUAAAGUUAAACAUAGUCGAAAUAGGAAAAAUUUUACAGGAAGACCAGAUUCCUGCAGAACUCUUUCACAGCCUAAAAGUAGUUGAGCUGCAAUGUUUUCAUGAUGGAUUUACAUUUUUCCCAUUUGACAUGCUUCUGAUAGUCCUAAAUAUGGAAAAACUUCUUGUGUCAUAUUGUUGUUUCAAAGACUUGUUCACAGUCGGACUUCUUGGUCAGGAGGAACAAACACUUAAAACUGGGUUAUCUUCCCAAUCUUUGGUACUUAUGGAACCAAGAAACCCAACCGGAUCAAAUUCUUCCAAAC